AAUUUUAUGAAUAAAAUGGAGGGUCCUAUGCGGUUCCAGAUCAUGGUUUUUUGAAGUAAAGUGAUAGCAUUUGCUGGGGAAUCCACGCUAUAACUACAAGCUUUAGCUCAGCAGUACUAAAAGCUCAAUAGUACUAGAAUCGUUUUUAGUUAGAGCCAAUUGUACUAAAGAAAAAAGAUAGGAGAUUUAGAGGAAAUUGCAGAAAAUUUGGAAUUAAAAAAAAAUGCAAAGCUGGCUCGCAAGAACUAAAAGAAAAAGAGAGAAAUUGUUUGUAUUUGUUUCAAAAUCCUUGUUGAAUGAAGCAAGUUCACCACCUGGAUAAUUCACUCAAAAAGUUGUGUGAGAUUUCUAUGCCGAUGCAGCAAGCAAGAGAUGUUAUUCAGAUUUCGAUGGAGAUCAAAUAUGUUAAGGGCGGGGGCUUGGUGAAUCAGAAUCCUGAGGAGUUGGGAGGCCUUAAUGAAGGGGCCAAGACUAUAGAAGUGAUAAACAUUUUGAAGGAGUUGUUAAAAGCUGUGCGGGAUGCAAAGAUGGAAGCAGAAAUUUAUGGUUCUGUCUGGCAAAGCAUGGAAUCUAAUCUAGGAUCUUGCAUAAGGAAGACAGAAGAGUCAAACCAGGUAACAUAUCAUGCAAAUGAGAAAAUAAAUAACGGGAAGCAGCUUGUUAACAUGUGUGUAUCGGAAACAUAUUUCUGUUCCUGCUUCAAAAAGCCUAAAUGCUUCCAAAAGCCUACAUACAUGAAUGAACUUCAGGACUUAGACAAUACACUGAGAAGGUUCUGUCAGCGAGUUGAACAAGAAGCAAGGAAACCACCUGAUAACCGAGUGGCGACAGGACAAAAUGUGAACCCAGCAAAAGUCAUUCAUGGAGGGUUGGGGGUGAAGCCAGGUGGGGAUAUGAAAGACAGUGAGAUGGAAAAUAAUGAGAAAAAGAAAGAAACUCAUGCGGAAGGUAAAAACAUCCAUCAGGAGGAGAAAAAAAGCUACGGGGAAAUUCACGAGUCAUAUCUAACUGAUCAGAAGAUCAAUGGAGUGUCUACUAAGACUGCACCUUCUGUUGAUGACAAUGAACGCCAAUCUGUUCCUCGGCAGGUUGUGCCCCCUAGGCCUGAGCAGUCACUAAUCCAUGUACCAGGUGAAUCAAGGGAUUCAAAAUUAAAGCAGCAACGUGAAAAGCAAACCCAAAAGCCAAUAAACCUAAAGGACAAUGAGCCAAUAAACCCAAUGGACAAUGACUCUGUGUCUUCACAUUCAGAUGGGCUUGUAAAGCAAUCGAAGGAGAAAGAUGUUCGCAAGGAAGUUGAGCGGUCAAAUCCAAGCCAAAAGUUUGGUUUAGUGCCAAACCACAAUUCAUCUUCGCAUCCAAGGCAGCCACCAGAGACAAAAGGCAUUGGUGAGAAGACUGGAUCAUCAGGUCCAACUGUGAACAGUCAUCCGAUGUCAAAUGAUGAUGUAUCUUCAAUUCCCAUUUUGCCUCCUAAAACAACUGUUGGGUGGGACACAUCGAAGAAAUUCACGAAGGAAUCACCAAUGGAUGGAGCUUCUGCAGUUGUAUCAUCUGCUCCCUUAGGAUUUGGAGAGAUCCCUUUGGCUAAAGAACGUUUCCGAAAUGAGGUUCAUGGAUUAAAUUUUGCAAGAUUGCGAUAUAACGCCGAAACAAGCCUCAGCUAUUGCAAAUUAACCGGAAUCCAAAAUUUCUUUGUGAAGUUAAUAGCUCACAAUAAUCACUAACGCUGAGAUUUCUCAGGUGUACAGGAUCACAAAACCAAGCCGGCCGAGGCAGGUUCAACAAAUAUACUGUCAUAGCCAAUGUUGAUCUUCGCCAGAUUUGUGAACUGUACAAAAGUCAAACUAAGGAAUUAACAUUCUCCAAUCUAAUUUGAAGAAAAAGAUUGCUAAUUUUAGCUGGUAAGAAACUUGAGUCUUUGACUACUAAGAUCCUGUAAUCUACGGAUUCUUCUUGAAUUGUGGCAACUGUGAAAGAUCAGAUGUUGAAGUUACAAAUUUCUUGAGAAAGUUUAUCUGUAAAGGAUAGGGAAGUGCUUGCUUUUUUUUUUGUUGCAAAAUUGGGGCUGCAGCCCCAAAACCUGCUUGUGCAUUUCUCCAAUACAUAUUCACUUCAGCUUUUUUUAGCUUAAGCAUUAUUUACUCCACUUUUUUAAACAGCUCAAUUAUGAAAAUGUCACAUGAUACAUCUCAAAUCUUCUUGUAAAGUAAAAUUAAGAUAUCCUUUAAAUCAUAAUCAGUAGAUCG
Molecule: unclassified non-coding RNA, 2249 nt
Filed under: Hevea brasiliensis (rubber tree)
Lineage: Eukaryota; Viridiplantae; Streptophyta; Magnoliopsida; Malpighiales; Euphorbiaceae
Source: RNAcentral